Molecule: ribosomal RNA, 451 nt
Filed under: uncultured bacterium
Lineage: Bacteria
Description: bacterial SSU rRNA
Rfam family: Bacterial small subunit ribosomal RNA
Source: RNAcentral
AGCGAACGCUGGCGGCAGGCCUAACACAUGCAAGUCGAGCGGCCGUAGCAAUACGGCAGCGGCAGACGGGAGAGUAACACGUGGGAACGUACCCUUCAGUUCGGAACAACCCAGGGAAACUUGGGCUAAUACCGGAUAAGCCCUUACGGGGAAAGAUUUAUCGCUGAAGGAGCGGCCCGCGUCUGAUUAGCUAGUUGGUGAGGUAACGGCUCACCAAGGCGACGAUCAGUAGCUGGUCUGAGAGGAUGAUCAGCCUCACUGGGACUGAGACACGGCCCAGACUCCUACGGGAGGCAGCAGUGGGGAAUAUUGGACAAUGGGCGCAAGCCUGAUCCAGCCAUGCCGCGUGGAUGAUGAAGGCCUUUGGGUUGUAAAGUCCUUUCAGCGGGGAAGAUAAUGACGGUACCCGCAGAAGAAGCCCCGGCUAACUUCGUGCCAGCCGCCGCGGUAA